RNAcentral lists this ribosomal RNA (253 nucleotides) under uncultured bacterium. RNAcentral's name for it is "partial 16S ribosomal RNA". It matches the Rfam family "Bacterial small subunit ribosomal RNA", at positions 524 to 776 of the family's 1533-position model. The record is from RNAcentral.
UACGUAGGGUGCGAGCGUUAAUCGGAAUUACUGGGCGUAAAGCGCGUUCAGGCGGUUUGGCAAGUCGGGCAUGAAAUCUCUCGGCUCAACCGGGAGAGGUUGUCCGAUACUGCUGGACUUGAGGGCAGUAGAGGGUGGUGGAAUUCCGGGUGUAGUGGUGAAAUGCGUAGAUAUCCGGAGGAACACCAGUGGCGAAAGCGGCCACCUGGACUGCACCUGACGCUGACACGCGAAAGCUAGGGGAGCGAACGGG